RNAcentral lists this long non-coding RNA (1531 nucleotides) under Nicotiana benthamiana. Its description in RNAcentral is "long non-coding RNA (NBEN_LNC006600)". The record is from RNAcentral. Lineage: Eukaryota; Viridiplantae; Streptophyta; Magnoliopsida; Solanales; Solanaceae.
AUCUUCUCCACCAUGCUCGUCAACGCCUCCAAAAUAUUUACAUAGCUCUUCGGGGCAUUUUUCGGGUUAAAAUAUAUACAAAUUCUUCACAAGGCAUUCUCCGUAUAAAUUUAACUAAAGGACAAUCUCUUACCUCAAAAUUAAACAAAAAUUAAACAAGCAAAACCUAAAGUUUGCCUACCCAAAUAUUCGGCCUGGACAUGCCCCCAGCGAUUGAAAGCAUCAACGCAAGAUAAAGAGCUAAGAAAAUCCAUCCGAACUCAAAUUUUUAUAAUUCUCAUCCCAGCCCGUCUAGUAAUCAUUUACAAAGUCCAUGUUUGUAUUGAACUAACCCCUUGACCAAAUUCCAUUUUUUUUCAUAUAUCAAAUUGUGACAAUUUGCCUUGAAUAAAAAGUAGCAAACAGAACCUUUAACAAACAGCAAUGUAUCACCAGGAAAUCAAACAGAACACUCACAAAAUUAAUCAACAAAGUUGCAUCACCAAGAAACCAAUCACAUGAAACUAAAGAAUAUUAUAUAGAUAGAAGAAGGGUAAGAGUGAACCUUCAAUAAACAAGAACUCUUCCAAUAUUAAGAUGAACCUCCAAUUAGUUCACAACAAUGUCAAACUCCGGCGACUCGGACUUGAACGGGAAAAAUGGAUGGCGUUUAGACCGCGACCAACAAACAGAAAACUCGACAGGCAGCAAUCAAAUUCAAACAGAAUCGCGACUGAAACACGAAUAGCGACUCCCAAAUUUCGAACUCCUACCUCAGCGUUACUCCAUUUUCGAACAAAAUCUGGAAGAAGAGACUUGUUUUUUCUUAAUUUCUUUUUUUUUUCUUUCUGAUUUUAGAAAUGAAACUGAAACUUAAUUGAAACUGAUUCGAUUUUCAGUGGUUAGGAUGGGUUCGGCGCUGUUGUUUUUGGUUGUUCAGAGCAUUGGUCGCCGGCGGAAUUGGGGUGGUCGGGAGUGGACAGAAUGAAGAAGGGGUCGUUGGUGUAUGGCAGCUAUGGAGGAUGGUUGUUUCCCGGUGAGUUCAGGGUGUUCGUUUGGUGGCUGUCCGGCGGGGUUAUGGUGUUGAAGGGGUGUUUUCCGGCGAGGGCUGAAGGGUUUUGGUUUGGGCGGCUUCAGGUGGUUCGUCGUCUGGUCGAAGAAUGAUAUGGGGUGGGAGGGGUGAUCUGCACUGUAGCGGCUGUCUUUCUAGUUUAGGAUUAGGGUUUUUUAUUUUGCUUUUUGUUUAUUGUUGAAGAAGGAGAAGGCAGCCAUGUGAAUCUUGUCUAGGGUUUUCGCUUGUGGUCUUGUGUUCAUCUCCCAAUGAAAAAGAAGACUAGGUUAGGAUUUUGUCUUGUUCAUCUUGGGCCCUUUUUUAUCCAUGGGCUAAGUAAAUUAGUUUGACUGGGCUAAAAAAAAUAAUGGGAUUUUUACCCAUAUACCAAACCUUAUUACCUCUUAUGUUUAAGGUUUGUGUUUAUUACAUUUAAGUACCAAAUUUCAAUGUAUAUACCAUAAUUCAAUUAAGGGUAUAAUUAUUGCUUCAUUUAUUCUA